This 266-nucleotide long non-coding RNA is filed under the name Medicago truncatula (barrel medic). RNAcentral's name for it is "long non-coding RNA (MTRU_LNC002461)". Lineage: Eukaryota; Viridiplantae; Streptophyta; Magnoliopsida; Fabales; Fabaceae. The record is from RNAcentral.
CCCUAAUUAUAAGACCCUUUUGAGAAUUUUUUUUGUCCCUUUUUAUAAGACCCCUUUGCUAUUUCCAACUACAUUAAUUAUUUCUUUACAUGCAUGCCCCUAUUUAUUAUACAUAAUUUUCUUCAAUCAGCAAUAAAUAUCAUGUUAAAAACAUAAACCAAUUCUCUCUUAAAGGAUAAAAUUGUAAAAACAAUAGUAAUUACAAACAUAUUUAAUACAAAUAUCCACUAUUUUAAUUCCCGUUAUUUUUUCAAAAGGGUCCUAUA